CUUUCUUCUUCUUUCAUUUUCUUUCUUCUUAUUCUUCAUUCUUCUUCUGCCCUUCUCUACUUUUCUUCUCCGACGAUUCCGAGAGUUUCCCGGGUAUGUGAGAUUGAUCAUCGUAGGAGUUACGUUAUGGAUUGAUGGUUGGUAGUGGUGAUUGUUGUUUACUGUUUUGGGAAAAGAAGGAGUUGGUACUGUAAUAAUCUGAAAUUAGGGUUUUUUAGAUUAAGACUCGAAUUGGUAAGAAGUUGUUAAGUAAUUGAGUUUUUAAUGGUUAAAUAACGAGGGGGUUGAUGUUUGAUUGAAGUGGUGAGGUUGUUUUGAAGUGGAAUUGAGGAGUAAGGGUUUUAUUAGAUGAACUAAAGAAGGAUUGGAAGAUGAAAUAUUAAGAGGGUUGAUAUUUAAUUGAAGUUGUGGAGUUCUUUUAAGGGUUGAAUCAAGAUUUAGGGUUCUUGAGUUAACUGGAUCUUAGAAGGUGAAAUUGGGGUUUUAACAGAAGAAUUAGAAGAUGGGUUUGCUCGAUCUGGAGAGUUGAAUUGAUAUCCAGAACUCGAAUUUAGAAAAGAUAAUUUGGGGGAUUACUUUAGGGUUCUCUGAGAAGUAGUAAAGGUGAUGGGAAGUUAAUGGUUGUUGUUAGUUUUCGAGAUGGGUUGUUGAAUCAUAAGUGAAGAAGAAAUUGAGUUUCAAUGGUUUGAAACAGAACUUAGUUGAGGUAAGGUCCUUCUCAGUUCUUUAACAGAGUUAUUUAUAUAUCCAGUUUUGAUUAUUUGUUGGUUAAUGAAAACUCAGGGUAGUAUCUUAAGUUUGCAUUUGAAUUACAAGUUAUGUGUAUGCGUUAGUAUGGAUUGGGAUGGAGUUUUUAUUGAUUGAGUUGCAGAUUAUUGUUGGUGGCUAGAGGCUGGUGGUGUUGUUUGUGUAUAUGAAGCUGUAGGUGUUAUGGAUGGUUAUGAAACUGAGAAUGAUCUGAGAUGUGCAUUUGAAGUUGUAAUGGUAGUGUGGUUGAAGAUACAUGGGAUAUGAGUGGCUGGUGGAAGUUUAGGAACUGUUUUGAGUGAACCAAUGAUUGAGGUAGUGAAGAGCUGAGGAUGGUGGAUAUGGAAUUGAGUUACAGUUGCAACUUGUGAACUGGUUCAAUCAGAGUGUGAAAGGCUUUUUGAAGUGAAAGUGUUAUAUGAAUGAUUAAUGAUUGUAAGUAGUGGUUUGGAGUAUCGUUGUGAAUAGAUACUAGCUCCAGUGGAGGCUUGCUACUGCUAUUGCAGGGGAAGUGAGAUGGAAAAAGAGUAGUUGUGAAAGCCUUCAAUUGCAGAUCAGUUUUCAGAGACAGAUCAGAGUUGCGCAGCGAAAGCCACAAGUGUUGACUCCGUUGAUUAGUUAACUUCUACUAUGUUUAUUAUGUUGUUUAUUGUAUCUGUAAACAAUUGACUAUUGUAUAUGUAUCAUUUGAGAGAAUUUCAUGUAUAUAUAUGCUAAGCGGGUUUAGUUUUCGGAUAAGUUUUGUAGCAUAUUUCUUAAUUGAAUGUUUAAAUAUUUGAAUUA
This is a long non-coding RNA of Papaver somniferum (opium poppy), 1530 nucleotides long. RefSeq lists it as uncharacterized. The transcript has 2 exons. Lineage: Eukaryota; Viridiplantae; Streptophyta; Magnoliopsida; Ranunculales; Papaveraceae. The record is from RefSeq and is a predicted model, not a curated record.